This 804-nucleotide ribosomal RNA is filed under the name Salmonella enterica. RNAcentral describes it as "partial 23S ribosomal RNA". It matches the Rfam family "Bacterial large subunit ribosomal RNA", at positions 689 to 1495 of the family's 2925-position model. Lineage: Bacteria; Pseudomonadati; Pseudomonadota; Gammaproteobacteria; Enterobacterales; Enterobacteriaceae. The record is from RNAcentral. RNAcentral also lists the same sequence under 1 other name.
CGGGCGUUAAGUUGCAGGGUAUAGACCCGAAACCCGGUGAUCUAGCCAUGGGCAGGUUGAAGGUUGGGUAACACUAACUGGAGGACCGAACCGACUAAUGUUGAAAAAUUAGCGGAUGACCUGUGGCUGGGGGUGAAAGGCCAAUCAAACCGGGAGAUAGCUGGUUCUCCCCGAAAGCUAUUUAGGUAGCGCCUCGUGAAUUCAUCUCCGGGGGUAGAGCACUGUUUCGGCUAGGGGGCCAUCCCGGCUUACCAACCCGAUGCAAACUGCGAAUACCGGAGAAUGUUAUCACGGGAGACACACGGCGGGUGCUAACGUCCGUCGUGAAGAGGGAAACAACCCAGACCGCCAGCUAAGGUCCCAAAGUCAUGGUUAAGUGGGAAACGAUGUGGGAAGGCCCAGACAGCCAGGAUGUUGGCUUAGAAGCAGCCAUCAUUUAAAGAAAGCGUAAUAGCUCACUGGUCGAGUCGGCCUGCGCGGAAGAUGUAACGGGGCUAAACCAUGCACCGAAGCUGCGGCAGCGACACUGUGUGUUGUUGGGUAGGGGAGCGUUCUGUAAGCCUGUGAAGGUGUGUCGUGAGGCAUGCUGGAGGUAUCAGAAGUGCGAAUGCUGACAUAAGUAACGAUAAAGCGGGUGAAAAGCCCGCUCGCCGGAAGACCAAGGGUUCCUGUCCAACGUUAAUCGGGGCAGGGUGAGUCGACCCCUAAGGCGAGGCCGAAAGGCGUAGUCGAUGGGAAACGGGUUAAUAUUCCCGUACUUGGUGUUACUGCGAAGGGGGGACGGAGAAGGCUAUGUUGGCCGGG